RNAcentral lists this ribosomal RNA (328 nucleotides) under uncultured eukaryote. Its description in RNAcentral is "partial 18S ribosomal RNA". It matches the Rfam family "Eukaryotic small subunit ribosomal RNA", at positions 1470 to 1796 of the family's 1831-position model. The record is from RNAcentral.
CCCUUAGACGUUCUGGGCCGCACGCGCGCUACGCUGACGGAGCCAGCGAGUAUAAACCUUGGCCGAGAGGUCUGGGAAAUCUUGUGAAACUCCGUCGUGCUGGGGAUAGAGCAUUGUAAUUAUUGCUCUUCAACGAGGAAUUCCUAGUAAGCGCAAGUCAUCAGCUUGCGUUGAUUACGUCCCUGCCCUUUGUACACACCGCCCGUCGCUACUACCGAUUGAAUGGCUUAGUGAGGCUUCCGGAUUGGUUUAGAGAAGGGGGCAACUCCAUCUUGGAACCGAGAAGCUAGUCAAACUUGGUCAUUUAGAGGAAGUAAAAGUCGUAACA